GAGUUUGAUCCUGGCUCAGAACGAACGCUGGCGGCGUGGAUAAGACAUGCAAGUCGUGCGACAGACCAGGAAUUGAUUACUUCGGUUUGAUUUUCCGGACGAUGAGCGGCGAACGGGUGCGUAACACGUGAGAAACCUGCCUUGAAGUUCGGGAUAGCUCGGCGAAAGUCGAAUUAAUACCGAAUGUGGCCCAGGGAUAGCAUUUUCCCUUGGUUAAAGCUCGGUCAAAGAGCGCUUUUAGAUGGUCUCGCGGUCUAUCAGCUUGUUGGUGAGGUAACGGCUCACCAAGGCUACGACGGAUAACUGAUCUGAGAGGAUGAUCAGUCACACUGGAACUGAGACACGGUCCAGACACCUACGGGUGGCAGCAGUCGAGAAUCAUUCACAAUGGGCGCAAGCCUGAUGGUGCGACGCCGCGUGGGGUAAGAAGGGCUUCGGUCUGUAAACCCCUGUCAUCUGUGAGUAAGGUCUCGUAUAAAAGCUACGAGAAUUGAUAUUAACAGAAGAGGAAGGGACGGCUAACUCUGUGCCAGCAGCCGCGGUAAUACAGAGGUCCCAAGCGUUGUUCGGAUUUACUGGGCGUAAAGGGUGCGUAGGCGGUUAGAAAAGUUUGGUGUGAAAUCUUCGGGCUCAACCCGGAAACUGCACUGAAAACUAUUUGACUAGAGGAUCGGAGAGGAGAUUGGAAUUCUCAGUGUAGCAGUGUAAUGCGUAGAUAUUGAGAGGAACACCAGUUGCGAAGGCGGAUCUCUGGACGAUUCCUGACGCUGAGGCACGAAAGCUGGGGGAGCGAAGAGGAUUAGAUACCCUCGUAGUCCUAGCCGUAAACGGUGCGCACUUGCUGUGGGCGGAUUCGACCCCGUCCGUGGCGAAGCUAACGCGUUAAGUGCGCCGCCUGGGGAGUACGGUCGCAAGAUUAAAACUCAAAGAAAUUGACGGGGACCCGCACAAGCGGUGGAGUAUGUGGUUUAAUUGGAGGCAACGCGAAGAACCUUACCUGGUCUUGACAUGCCCGUCAUAGUUUUCCGAAAGGAAUUCGUCAGUUAGGCUGGACGGUGCACAGGUGCUGCAUGGCUGUCGUCAGCUCGUGUCGUGAGAUGUUCGGUUAGGUCCGGCAACGAGCGCAACCCUCGUUCCUAGUUGCCAGCGGGUAAUGCCGGGGACUCUAGGAAGACAAACCUCGUGUAGAGGUGGGAAGGUGGGGACGACGUCAAGUCAGUAUGGCCCUUACGACCAGGGCUGCACACGUGCUACAAUGCCCGGUACAAUGGGAUGCAAUACCGCGAGGUUGAGCCAAUCCAUAAAACCGGGCCCAGUUCGGAUUGGAGUCUGCAACUCGACUCCAUGAAGUUGGAAUCGCUAGUAAUGGCGUAUCAGCAACGACGCCGUGAAUACGUUCCCGGGCCUUGUACACACCGCCCGUCACAUCAUGAAAGCCGGUUCUGCCCGAAGUACGUGAGCCAACCGCAAGGAGGCAGCGUCCUAAGGUGGGGCUGGUGAUUGGGAUGAAGUCGUAACAAGGUAACC
Molecule: ribosomal RNA, 1527 nt
Filed under: uncultured marine bacterium
Lineage: Bacteria
Description: bacterial SSU rRNA
Rfam family: Bacterial small subunit ribosomal RNA
Source: RNAcentral